GUGAAUAUAGUUUAACAUAAAUACUAGAUUGUGAAUCUAGAGAUAGAAGUGUAACCCUUCUUAUUCACC
This 69-nucleotide transfer RNA is filed under the name Petrodromus tetradactylus (four-toed elephant shrew). RNAcentral's name for it is "tRNA-His". It matches the Rfam family "tRNA". From Rfam's summary of the family: Transfer RNA (tRNA) molecules are approximately 80 nucleotides in length. Their secondary structure includes four short double-helical elements and three loops (D, anti-codon, and T loops). Lineage: Eukaryota; Metazoa; Chordata; Mammalia; Macroscelidea; Macroscelididae. The record is from RNAcentral.